Molecule: non-coding RNA, 29 nt
Filed under: Rattus norvegicus (Norway rat)
Lineage: Eukaryota; Metazoa; Chordata; Mammalia; Rodentia; Muridae
Source: RNAcentral
UACCACUGAGUGAUAUUCAAGUGCUUGGC